CACCCCCUCAGCGCUCGCAGGAUCAUCCUCCUGUGAGCGCCCGCCAGGCUGUGCCCUAAGCCCGGGGACAUGGACUUAGACAGACCUGUGUCCAUCUGUCUAUUCCCUGUCCCCAUUACUUACUACUGAAUGGGCGGGCACACUGGCACAUGGGAACACACAGGCACCAAGGUCAUCAUCGGGUGCCAAGAGCAGUCGGCCAGAGGAUGACUAGGCCUACUUUUGGAGCUGAGGAUGGGAACUAAGGCAGGCAUGGGGCUGAGCGUAUGUCUGCGCUGCGCACCCUGACAGCCUCCAAGCGCUGGGAGGCGCUGCACUUGCGGGCGUCGCUGCUGAGCCGCGACCCAGACGCCCUGCUUUCCCCACCGUCCCAGGGACCUGUGGCACCUACAGCUGGACCUGGAGCGGCCGUCACGACACGGUGGACAUGUGGGAGCUGGUGGAGGAGGUGGUGGAGGAGGAGGAGACAUAGACAUAGACUCUAGAUAGAGGAGGAUGCUGGAGGUCUGGGAACUGGUGGAGGAGGUGAUGGAGGAGGUGGAGGAGGAAGGGGGCCAUGGCUCUGCACCCCCAUCCUACCCUUGCACCCCAGCACAGACGAGCAGGCUGCCAUGACAUGGUGGACAUCCAGGAGACGAGGGAACUGUUGGAGGAGGUGAUGGAGGAGCAGGAGGAGGAUGAGGAGGAGGCGGAGGACGGGAGAAAUGGGGGUGAUAUUACUGCACCCCCAACACCACCUCCACCCUCACCUGUACCACCCUAAAGCCAUAUGAAAAGUCACCAUGAGGCCCUAGACUGCCAUGACAACUGACAACUGGUGGAAGAGGAGGAGGAGGAGGAGGAGGAGGAGGAGGAGGAGGAGGAGGAGGAAGCGGGUAAUGGUACUGCGCCCAUAUCCUCACCUGCACUUCACUAAAGAAGAGGGUGCUGGAGGUUUCGGAACAGGUGGAGGAGAUGGAAGAGGAGGAGAAGGAGGAGGGUAAUGGUACUGCACCCCUACCAUCACCACCACCACCACCACCCUCCCCUUGGACUGCACUAAGGCCAUAGGACAAGGCCUCCGCUACACGAUGCAGAUAAUGGUGGAUGAGGAAGGAGGUGCCACCCCCAACCUUCAUCUGCACCCAGAUGCAACCCCCCACAGGCUAGAUAUGGCUGCAGCCAAGGGGCCCCUACCUACCAGGGGCCCCCACGGGCUAGUUAUGGCUGCAGCCAAGGGGCCCCCACCUGCCAGGGGCCCCCACAGGCUAGUUAUGGCUGCAGCCAAGGGCCCCCCACCUGCCAGGGGCCCCCACAGGCUAUAUAUGGCUGCAGCCUAGGGGCCCCCACAGGCUAGAUAUGUCUGCAGCCUAGGGGCCCCCACCUGCCAGGGGCCACCACAGGCUAGAUAUGGCUGCAGCCUAGGGGGCCCCCCACCUGCCAGGGCCCCCCACGGGCUAGAUAUGGCUACAGCCUAGGGCCCCCACCACAAGCUAGAUAUGGUUGCAGCCUAGGGGCCCCCACAGGCUAGAUAUGGCUGCAGCCUAGGGCCCCCACCACAGGCUAGAUGUGGUUGCAGCCUAGGGGCCCCCACAGGCUAGAUAUGUCUGCAGCCUAGGGCCCCCACCACAGGCUAGAUGUGGUUGCAGCCUAGGGGCCCCCACAGGCUAGAUAUGUCUGCAGCCUAGGGGCCCCCACCUGCCAUGGGCCCCCACAGGCUAGAUAUGGCUGCAGCCUAGAGCCCCCCCACCUGCCAGGGCUGGAUUAAUGCACAGGCUAGAUAUGGAGGAAGACUAGGGCCCCUCACUCCAAGACAAGUGAGUCAGUGGAAAGUAUGCCAAACAGAAACCAUAUGUAUCACACCACUGCACACAUACUGUUAAGAGGAGCCUGCAACACCCCCCACCCUGGAGACCUUCUCUGCGAUAUCCAAGUCAUCACCACAAGCGGUCUGAUAGAAAGACUGAAACAAAAAACAAAUUAAUUAAAAAUUAAACUAUAAAGAAAAACCAGAAGCAA
This is a long non-coding RNA of Engraulis encrasicolus (European anchovy), 1998 nucleotides long. RefSeq lists it as uncharacterized. NCBI's taxonomy places the organism in Eukaryota, Metazoa, Chordata, Actinopteri, Clupeiformes, Engraulidae. The record is from RefSeq and is a predicted model, not a curated record. The transcript has 4 exons.